UUAAAAGUUCGGGGNUUAACCCCGUGAGGGGAUGGAAACUGCUGAUCUAGAGUAUNGGAGAGGAAAGUGGAAUUCCUAGUGUAGCGGUGAAAUGCGUAGAUAUUAGGAAGAACACCAGUGGCGAAGGCGACUUUCUGGACGAAAACUGACGNUGAGGCGCGAAAGCCAGGGGAGCGAACGGGAUUAGAUACCCCGGUANUCCUGGCCGUAAACGAUGGGUACUAGGUGUAGGAGGUAUCGACCCCUUCUGUGCCGGAGUUAACGCAAUAAGUACCCCGCCUGGGGAGUACGACCGCAAGGUUGAAACUCAAAGGAAUUGACGGGGGCCCGCACAAGCGGUGGAGUAUGUGGUUUAAUUCGACGCAACGCGAAGAACCUUACCAGGUCUUGACAUUGAUGGACAGAACCAGAGAUGGUUCCUCUUCUUCGGAAGCCAGAAAACAGGUGGUGCACGGUUGUCGUCAGCUCGUGUCGUGAGAUGUUGGGUUAAGUCCCGCAACGAGCGCAACCCCUAUCUUAUGUUGCCAGCACUUCGGGUGGGAACUCAUGAGAGACUGCCGCAGACAAUGCGGAGGAAGGCGGGGAUGACGUCAAAUCAUCAUGCCCCUUAUGACCUGGGCUACACACGUACUACAAUGGGAGUUAAUAGACGGAAGCGAGAUCGCGAGAUGGAGCAAACCCGAGAAACACUCUCUCAGUUCGGAUCGUAGGCUGCAACUCGCCUACGUGAAGUCGGAAUCGCUAGUAAUCGCAGGUCAGCAUACUGCGGUGAAUACGUUCCCGGGCCUUGUACACACCGCCCGUCACACCACGAAAGUCGGAAGUGCCCAAAGCCGGUGGGGUAACCUUCGGGAGCCAGCCNU
This 863-nucleotide ribosomal RNA is filed under the name uncultured bacterium. Its description in RNAcentral is "bacterial SSU rRNA". It matches the Rfam family "Bacterial small subunit ribosomal RNA", at positions 594 to 1456 of the family's 1533-position model. The record is from RNAcentral.